GAGCAAGUCUCGCAGCCAUCUCAGUAUGAAUGGUGGAGCUGCAGAGGACAAGUCCGGCGCAACAACCAGAGAAAGUUAGUGAGGAGAGUCAGGGCAGAGUUUGGAAGCGCGCACAUGGCUCGCUGCUGUUUUCAGGAUGACUUUUAGCUCGCAGUGCAAAAGUUUGAAAGUGAAAGAGAGAGUGUCAGGUCAAAAUGGUGCAGAUGCGCGCCUCGCAAACGUUGGCUGAGUUUAAAAAGAGAAAGAGAAGACGUGCAAAGUGUGCGCCUGGCUGCCAGUGAUGCGGGUUUUCAGUGAAGACUUUCUGAUGAAGAAGAGGAUGAAGACUGACAAACUGGGUUAAGACACAGGAUUGAGAAACAGUUUUACCACAGGACUAUCAGCUCAGUUUCCACCACAUUCACCCAUCCUGACGAGCAGUGGGGAAACCACCUCAGCAGAGCUCAUCUGUUGAGAUGUUGCUGAGUCAGUUUGGGGUCAUGACAUCAUCAUCAUGAGAUGGGGACGCUGGUGGACGGUGACCGCAGGCAGCGACAGAAGAGGUGGUGCUGUGUGUUGCGGUUUGCAGCUGCUGGAUCUUGGCACCAAAAAAAAAAAAGUGCUGUGGAGCUGCCUCGGGGAAUAAUUUGCUCAAAUGUUGAAAGGAAGAACAAAUUCAAGAGGUUUGAAGGGGCAGUAAGUAAGAUUUUUAUUGUUGCAUUGCAUCAAAUGACCAUGAAACACCUGCAGGAUGCCGGUAAUUGUCCAGGUGUUGAGGUUUUGUGGCUUUCCGAACUGUCUUUCCGGCUUGUGGGUUGUUUUGGAGCAAAAUCUCCACACCCAGUGAAGUAAUGCUGAUGCUGUUCAAAUCCUGACUGAUGGUGACCACAGCUAGUAACACACAAGUAAAGGACUACUUAGCCUCUAGAGUCUGUGUAUUCAUCAGUGAUUAUGCUGAGUAUGUUUUAUUUACAGAAAUGUAACUUUAUCUUUAGAGAAAAGCUGAGGAAACCAGUUGAAAAUACUCAUGUGGGGCUUUCAUACAAUAUCUCAUUUAUCUCUGUAGCACAUAAAUUUUUUUAAAGGCACUCAGUCUUACUGUGAAAAAGGCACUGAUGGGUAGAGUUGGGAUAAUCAUUUUAUAUAUAAAUAGACUAUAUUAUAGUUAUUUUUAUUUUGUACAUUUCUUAUAGUAUUUGUAAGUACACACAGAUAUAUAUUUAAUUUAUCUGAAAAAAAAAAAAACCCUGCGGCUCAAGUGAAACAAUUAUUUUGACAGCUAAUCUGAAUGUAUAACAGAUGAUUUCCUAAUUUAACAUUACAUUUUUGAUAACCAUCAUGAAACAGAAUUUUUGAAGCAUCCAGUGAACUGAAUGAAUUUGUUCUUCCUCUCUAUGGGUUGUAACUAAUGCACCUUGUCUUACUCUAAUUUAUUGAAAUGAUGAAAUUAAUAAAUCAACUUAAACAUGAA
Molecule: long non-coding RNA, 1450 nt
Organism: Lates calcarifer (barramundi perch)
Lineage: Eukaryota; Metazoa; Chordata; Actinopteri; Centropomidae
Exons: 4
Source: RefSeq, a predicted model, not a curated record